AAAUCUCCAUUCUAACUCGUUUUCUUCCGAAACUUAAUGAGUGCUUUUGUAAUUAAAAUACACACAAAAAUAUCGUCAACAGAGAGUUUAGCUAUACUGCCAAAAUCUCAGUCCUUACAUAAUCCCCUCUUAAAGGAAGUUUCAUCUCCGAAACUUGCUUACACACCACCGAAAAUAAUUCCAGAUAUCACUCCACUAACGCACCAAGCACAACU
This 215-nucleotide long non-coding RNA is filed under the name Ananas comosus (pineapple). RNAcentral's name for it is "long non-coding RNA (ACOM_LNC005194)". The record is from RNAcentral. Lineage: Eukaryota; Viridiplantae; Streptophyta; Magnoliopsida; Poales; Bromeliaceae.